CCUACGGGAGGCAGCAGUAAGGAAUAUUGGGCAAUGGACGAAAGUCUGACCCAGCCAUGCCGCGUGAAGGAUGAAGGUCCUCUGGAUUGUAAACUUCUUUUAUCUGGGGCGAAAAUCACCCUUUCUAGGGUGCUUGACAGUACCAGAAGAAUAAGCACCGGCUAACUCCGUGCCAGCAGCCGCGGUAAUACGGAGGGUGCAAGCGUUAUCCGGAUUUACUGGGUAUAAAGGGUGCGUAGGCGGGCAGGUAAGUCAGUGGUGAAAUCCCCGAGCUUAACUCGGGAACUGCCGUUGAUACUAUCUGUCUUGAAUAUCGUGGAGGUAAGCGGAAUAUGUCAUGUAGCGGUGAAAUGCUUAGAUAUGACAUAGAACACCAAUUGCGAAGGCAGCUUGCUACACGGUCAUUGACGCUGAGGCACGAAAGCGUGGGGAUCAAACAGGAUUAGAUACCCUGGUAGUCCACGCCCUAAACGAUGAUUACUCGACAUCAGCGAUACACUGUUGGUGUCUAAGCUAACGCAUUAAGUAAUCCACCUGGGAAGUACGAUCGCAAGAUUGAAACUCAAAGGAAUUGACGG
This 578-nucleotide ribosomal RNA is filed under the name uncultured Bacteroidota bacterium. RNAcentral's name for it is "bacterial SSU rRNA". It matches the Rfam family "Bacterial small subunit ribosomal RNA", at positions 338 to 916 of the family's 1533-position model. Lineage: Bacteria; Pseudomonadati; Bacteroidota. The record is from RNAcentral.